This is a long non-coding RNA of Cornus florida, 4289 nucleotides long. RefSeq lists it as uncharacterized. The record is from RefSeq and is a predicted model, not a curated record. The transcript has 9 exons. Lineage: Eukaryota; Viridiplantae; Streptophyta; Magnoliopsida; Cornales; Cornaceae.
UUUUUUUUUUUUUUUUUUGUGAGACAUCAGUUUUCUAAUGAAAAUAAAAAAAUAAAUAUAUUAGCUGUACUUUUUGAUAGAAAAUUUUAUUUUAUUACCUUAUUCAUUUGGCUCAUUUGCAAAGUCAAAGUGUCUUUAUAAAGGGAGAACAAACAACAAAAGGCACAAUAUUGUAUAUAGAUACUAUACAUAUUACCAAAAGUAAAGUACAACACACCUGUAAACUAUUAGACUUUUCACUUUUGUUAAAAGGCCAAAUGUCUUAUAUCUAAAUUAGGAUGAAUUGAAAUUGAAUAAGAAAUAGAAAAGGAAUGAGAAAAGAAUCAUCUAAAUUAGGAUGAAUUGAAAUUGAAUAAGAAAUAGAAAAGGAAUGAGAAAAGAAUCAUCUUAUAUCUAAGUAAAUUGUAAUGCAAAUUGGAGUACGUUUCACAAUUGUGUUUUUUGAAAAGUGAAUUGCUUUCAAAAACAAAUGAGAACCAUGCUAGUAAUGAAAUAAGGUCAUUAAAGUAGCACCAGCAUAUAAAAAUGAGGACCGUUAUUGCCAUCAGGGCUUGCUCAAGCCCUAAUCGGAAUUGAGUGCGAAUAUAACGGGCCAGCUUUGGUCUAUUUGAAAUGUUUUGCUUGUUUUGCUGGGCUGCGCCUUCCUGUGUAGUCAAUUUUUUGGGCUUGUUUGGCUUGUUGCUAUCUCGGUGAAUGCCAUGCUGUAAUUUUUCUCAAUCUAAACCACACUUCUAAACACUAUAUUUUUAAAUAUUCAAAGUGAUCAUCAAGUUAGGAUCUCAACUACCUUCCGAAAAACAAUGAUAGGACCUCUUAAACAAGUUCGUAUUUCGAACACAAUGGUCGACCAGCACAAUCCAAAUAAUUAAGAAAGGAUUUUGUAGGGCCAGAGUCCUAGUUGUGCAGUACGAUUUGUGGAAUUGGUCAACUGAUUGCAAAUGCCUGCCCCUAAAACCUAAAUUUGCAGCACAAUUAAGAUUUUUUUUUCGGUCUAGUGAUUUUUUUAUGAAAUAGCGGAGGUAUAACUGGACCGUAAGUUACUUAACCCUUAGGUUGCAAUACAAUUAUGAAAUUCUCAUUAAAAAAAAAUAAAGAAAAAGAAAAUGAAAGUGACAAAAAUGUGAGCAAGUGGCAUAACAAACAGAAGGUAAAUUGCUUAAAAGUUUAUAGUGACAAAUAAAGAAUAAAAAUGAUGUAAUUCAAAGUUACAUGUACAAUAUCAGAUUAUAGGCAGCCCCGGCCCAAACUGAUUUGAGAGAAUCCAGUUGCUUUAAAAAGUUGUGAAUUUAAUGGGAAAAUUAAAUAUAGUCUGGAAACACACACGAGUAGAACCAUCAGCACAGGGAAAUAAUUUGGAGGUUCUGCAACCAUCUUCAUGUCUCCCAAAGAAAGAAGCUGCUAUUUUAAUAGUUAGAGCUAUAAACACCUUCUUCUUUUAAGCAUGGCCUGAUUAUAUGCUCUGUUUAAUCUACUUUGCUUGCAUUAAAUUAUCAGUUUCCGAAAGGUGCAAAAUCUGCUUCCUCUAGAGUAUCUUAAUUAGGUAUUUAUACAAAUAUAGUUUUGUGCAUCCUAAAGCCACUGUAGAUUCAUCACUUAAAUUGGUAAAAAUAUAACCUGAAUUAAUCUAUUUAUUAUGAUUUUUUUAAUAGAAGGAAAUCUAAUUAGACAAGAAUAAAUUUAAAGAAAAUAAAAUAAUUUGAAACUUACGGGUAGUUAUCAUGUGGUCUUCCAAUUCUAUCUUUCCACAUGUCUUCUCAACUAUAUUCUUUAACCCACUUUGAUCUCACGUUUUAACUCACUUUGUUUUUUUUAAGAAUCUGAAGUAGCUAUCCAGAAAACUACGUAGUUUCCUCAUCUUUAAUUGUUCCCCAAAACUUGUGCCAUAUGUUAUUCUUACAACCAUUUCGUUAGAUGCACUAACACUUCAAAUUUAUUAUAAUAUUGGGGUAUAUUCUGAGCAAGUGUGAUCGGCCACAUUUCAAGUAAUCAUAAAAUCAGUUAUAUUUCAAGAUAUCGGUCACAUUUCAAUCUUCUAAUAAUUAAUCGAUAAUUAUAGUACAAACACUUGUAAUACAGAGCUAUUUGAUCUAGCACCGGCUUCAUGGAGACCCAGAUUCAGCUUGUUCCAGUCCACGCACCAAGGAUUAUGAUUAACAUAUCAUUACUGUAUAAUGAUUACCAUCUUUCAAUAUUAUAUAUAUAUAUAUAUAUAUAUAUAUUACGAGAUGAAAACCGAUAAAAUUCUUCAGCAUAUUUAGCAAUCGUUCUACUUACCAGCGUAGGACUGAUAUUUCUGAUAAAGAACCUGUUCGUUAUGAAUCAUGGUAUCAAUGUUAAGUUCAUGUAUCAUUUAUGAAGUUGGAAACGAUACUGAAAAAACACCAAGAAAUUUUGAAUACAUCGCCUGCUCCUAAAUGCAUUUUUGUUUAGUUUUUUUGUUUAGUUUUGUGUGCCGAUCUACUUUGGGUCUGUUUAGUAAUAUGAAUUAAUUCCUACUUUCUGCUGUCAAUUCUGAGAAAACAAAAAUAAAAGUAAAAUCACGUUUAUUAAAUUACUUUUACUUUUUCAUUUUAAGGAAGUAAUUUCUAAAUUUGUAAAGAGAAGAGUUCUCACUUUCUCUAUUUUCUGUACUGUGCGGAGAAAGUAUUUUUGAUACUGUAGCGCUAAGUAAAAACACUGUAGCGCUAACUUUGAAAGAUAAAAUCUGUCCUCAUUUAUGUCAUCAUCUCAAUGACGCAACCCUAGCAUCUCGCCCUCAGAUCUGCUUCUACCAAGGCGAUUCUUCAUCCCUUAUCUGCGACCGUCGAUCGGCGAAGGAGACUCAACGGCCAACCAACAACAACACCUAAGAAUGUGAAUAAUCCUUGCUGCACUCUACUUCCACGCAUAUCAGCAGAUUAGAGAGAGAGAAGAAGAGGAAGUUGAGUGAAACCCAAUUCACUUUGGUGGUCUAUUAUUAGGGUUACAUUGUCGCAAUUUUAAGGGUUAGACAUGUCCCCUCAAUCAUCAGGUUUAAUUCUUGCUAAGGGAGAAGCUAUUUGGAAUGAGUGGUGUCGGUAAAGAGUAACUGAAUUUGAGAGGAAGAAGAAGAGGAAGUUGAGUGAAACCCAAUUCACUUUGGUGGUCUAUAAUUAGGGUUACAUUGUUGCAAUUUUAAGGGUUAGACAUUUCCCCUCAAUCAUCAGGUUUAAUUCUUGCAGAGGGAGAAGUUAUUUGGAAUGAGCGGUGUCGGUAAAGAGUAAUUGACCCUUUCAUAGAUUCGAACAUCGAACUGGAGCACGACAAAAAGUUACAUUCUUAUGGGCUGUUCAUGGAAACUCACGCUGCAUUACGAACGCUUAAGAGCCCUAAAUAUUUGUGUUUUGAAGAGUUGUCAAGUGACGCCAUUAAAACAUCCCAUAAUUGUUUGUUUUUGGCAAUCUCCACCCUUAAUAUUUCCGGAUUUUUUGUGGAAGGGAAACAAGCAGGGUAUAGAGGAAUAUUGAGAGAUUCCUCAAAUUCUUUUUUGUACCACAUCUAUGACCAACUUCCUGGUGCAAAAUCCUUGGAAUCUGUUGUGCAUUAGAUCCUAUAAAAAGGAUACCGGCAGUUAGGAAAAUAAUUUUAGAAAUUGACCAUCAAAACAUUGUCAAGGCAAAUUUUUGAUAGGUUGUCAAACUUAAAUAUUGGAACUUUAUAGGCAAAUUUUUGAUAGGUUGUCAAACUUAAAUAUUGACAAGCAUCGGAUCGUGUUUCUACAUACUCAGGGCAACGGUACCACCAAUCGGAUGGCAUAUCUAGCUGCCAACACGAGGGUAUACAGUUUUCUCUGUAAAGAUCUUGAUUUAAAUCUACAAAUUGGCUACGAUAAUGAUGGGAAGUGUUCACGUUACGAGAUCGUUUACAAAAAUUGAUACCGACUCUACAUGAUUAUUGUUAGAUUGCAUCAGGGAGUUCCCACUCUCUUUGUAGCUACAGACCCUCAUAUAUAUAUAUAUAUAUAUAUAUAUAUAUAUAUUCCCAGAUGCUAUGAAUUGGUGGUAUACUGCGUUUAUGGCUGGGAAUCUUCUUCCCAACAGUUAUAGAUAAAUUGAUACCGACUUUGUGAUAGUUUACUCUGUUUUUUUGGUGCUCCAUUUCCCAUGCCUGGUGCGUUUUUGUUUAUACAGCCUUAUUUUUGCUGGGGUUCCUGGCUUUUCUCUUUUCAAAGGGGAAUGCCUCUCUUUCCACUUAUGUACCCAAUAGUUUGAGUUAAUGAAAAUGUUAAUUACCAAAAAAUAUAAAUAAGACGUUUGCUUGCAAGCAGUGUU